ACUCCUACGGGAGGCAGCAGUAGGGAAUCUUCCACAAUGGACGAAAGUACUGAUGGAGCAACGCCGCGUGAGUGAAGAAGGGUUUCGGCUCGUAAAACCUCUGUUGUUAAAGAAGAACAUAUCUGAGAGUAACUGUUCAGGUAUUGACGGUAUUUAACCAGAAAGCCACGGCUAACUACGUGCCAGCAGCCGCGGUAAUACGUAGGUGGCAAGCGUUGUCCGGAUUUAUUGGGGCGUAAAGCGAGCGCAGGCGGUUUUUAAAGUCUGAUGUGAAAGCCUUCGGCUCAACCGAAGAAGUGCAUCGGAAACUGGGAAACUUGAGUGCAGAAGAGGACAGUGGAACUCCAUGUGGUAGCGGUGAAAUGCGUAGAUAUAUGGAAGAACACCAGUGGCGAAGGCGGCUGUCUGGUCUGUAACUGACGCUGAGGCUCGAAAGUAUGGGUAGCAAACA
RNAcentral lists this ribosomal RNA (451 nucleotides) under uncultured bacterium. RNAcentral's name for it is "bacterial SSU rRNA". It matches the Rfam family "Bacterial small subunit ribosomal RNA", at positions 335 to 774 of the family's 1533-position model. The record is from RNAcentral.